AGCGAACGCUGGCGGCAGGCCUAACACAUGCAAGUCGAACGAACCUUUCGGGGUUAGUGGCGGACGGGUGAGUAACACGUGGGAACGUGCCUUUAGGUUCGGAAUAACUCAGGGAAACUUGUGCUAAUACCGAAUGUGCCCUUCGGGGGAAAGAUUUAUCGCCUUUAGAGCGGCCCGCGUCUGAUUAGCUAGUUGGUUGAGGUAAUGGUUCACCAAGGCGACGAUCAGUAGCUGGUCUGAGAGGAUGAUCAGCCACAUUGGGACUGAGACACGGCCCAAACUCCUACGGGAGGCAGCAGUGGGGAAUCUUGCGCAAUGGGCGAAAGCCUGACGCAGCCAUGCCGCGUGAAUGAUGAAGGUCUUAGGAUUGAAAAGUUCUUUCACCGGGGACGAUAAUGACGGUACCCGGAGAAGAAGCCACGGCUAACUUCGUG
RNAcentral lists this ribosomal RNA (434 nucleotides) under uncultured bacterium. RNAcentral describes it as "partial 16S ribosomal RNA". It matches the Rfam family "Bacterial small subunit ribosomal RNA", at positions 29 to 507 of the family's 1533-position model. The record is from RNAcentral.